GCCGCCGCGGUAAUACGUAGGACCUAAGCGUUAUCCGGAAUCACUGGGCGUAAAGCGAUCGAAGGCGGACCAGUAAGUCUGAUGUUAAAUACCCACGGCUCAACCGGGGUGCUGCGUUGGAAACUGCUGGCCUAGAGUAAGACAGAGGUAGCUGGAAUUCUUGUUGUAGGGGUUAAAUCCGUAGAUAACAAGAGGAACACCAAAAGCGAAGGCAUGCUACUGGGUCUUUACUGACGCUGCGCGAUCGAAAGCGUGGGGAGCGAAAGGGAUUAGAUACCCCUGUAGUCCACGCCGUAAACGAUGAAUGCUCGGCGUUCGAUUUUUAAUCGAUUGAGUGCCUAAGCUAACGCGUUAAGCAUUCCGCCUGAAGAGUACGACCGCAAGGUUAAAACUCAAAGGAAUAGACGGGGAUCCACACAAGCGGUGGAGCAUGUGGUUUAAUUCGACAAUAAGCGGGGAACCUUACCAGGACUUGACAUCUUCGGAAUUUGCUGGAAACAGCGAAGUGCCUUCGGGAACCGAAUGACAGGUGUUGCAUGGUUGUCGUCAGCUCGUGCCUUGAGGUGUUCGGUUAAGUCCGUUAACGAGCGCAACCCUCGCCGUAUGUUGUAUUGUUCAUACGGGACUGCCGGUUUUACACCGGAGGAAGGUGAGGAUGACGUCAAAUCAGCAUGGCCCUUAUGUCCUGGGCGACACACGUGCUACAAUGGUCGGUACAAAGGGCAGCAAAGCGGUAACGUGGAGCAAAUCCCAAAAAGCCGAUCUUAGUUCGGAUUGAGGGCUGCAACCCGCCCUCAUGAAGCUGGAAUCGCUAGUAACCGUAGAUCAGCCAUGCUACGGUGAAUAUGUUCCUGGAUCUUGUACUCACCGC
Molecule: ribosomal RNA, 871 nt
Filed under: uncultured candidate division GN07 bacterium
Lineage: Bacteria
Description: bacterial SSU rRNA
Rfam family: Bacterial small subunit ribosomal RNA
Source: RNAcentral